GAUGAACGCUGGCGGCGUGCCUAAUACAUGCAAGUCGAGCGAACAGACGAGGAGCUUGCUCCUCUGACGUUAGCGGCGGACGGGUGAGUAACACGUGGAUAACCUACCUAUAAGACUGGGAUAACUUCGGGAAGCCGGAGCUAAUACCGGAUAAUAUAUUGAACCGCAUGGUUCAAUAGUGAAAGACGGUUUUGCUGUCACUUAUAGAUGGAUCCGCGCCGCAUUAGCUAGUUGGUAAGGUAACGGCUUACCAAGGCAACGAUGCGUAGCCGACCUGAGAGGGUGAUCGGCCACACUGGAACUGAGACACGGUCCAGACUCCUACGGGAGGCAGCAGUAGGGAAUCUUCCGCAAUGGGCGAAAGCCUGACGGAGCAACGCCGCGUGAGUGAUGAAGGUCUUCGGAUCGUAAAACUCUGUUAUUAGGGAAGAACAAAUGUGUAAGUAACUAUGCACGUCUUGACGGUACCUAAUCAGAAAGCCACGGCUAACUACGUG
RNAcentral lists this ribosomal RNA (497 nucleotides) under uncultured bacterium. RNAcentral's name for it is "partial 16S ribosomal RNA". It matches the Rfam family "Bacterial small subunit ribosomal RNA", at positions 28 to 507 of the family's 1533-position model. The record is from RNAcentral.